CCUGCAACUUUUGUUCUAGUUGGAGUGGACGAACCGCCGCCAUCUUGGGACCCGGUCAGCACACCUGAUUUUGAUAUGCCUCCAAAAGGAAAUGGCGCUCCAAAAGGAAAUGGUGCUCCAAAAAGACAUGGCUCACCACUCUAUCCGGCAGGAUCUCCAAAGUACAAUUUGAGUAAGGCGAAAAAACUAUGUCCAAAAGCUGAUAAGCGAAGGGCGUCAUGGAAUCGUGGACUUGAGAAGGCUCUUGUGGAGCUACUCCAAGAGCACAACAAUCCAUACCAUAGAGGCCAGAACGGGUGGAGCAGCGAAACAUGGAAUAUGAUGGUUAAAUGCUUCAACUCCCGGC
Molecule: non-coding RNA, 346 nt
Organism: Lolium perenne
Lineage: Eukaryota; Viridiplantae; Streptophyta; Magnoliopsida; Poales; Poaceae
Source: RefSeq, a predicted model, not a curated record